RNAcentral lists this ribosomal RNA (398 nucleotides) under uncultured bacterium. RNAcentral describes it as "bacterial SSU rRNA". It matches the Rfam family "Bacterial small subunit ribosomal RNA", at positions 791 to 1196 of the family's 1533-position model. The record is from RNAcentral.
UAGUCCACGCCGUAAACGAUGAUCACUAGAUGUCGGGAUUUCUCGGUGUCGCAGCUAACGCAUUAAGUGAUCCACCUGGGGAGUACGAUCGCAAGGUUGAAACUCAAAGGAAUUGACGGGGGCCCGCACAAGCAGUGGAGCAUGUGGUUUAAUUCGAUGCAACGCGAAGAACCCUACCUGGGCUUGAAACGCAGUGGACAGACUAUGAAAGUAGUUUUCNCUUCGGAGUCGCUGUACAGGUGCUGCAUGGCUGUCGUCAGCUCGUGCCGUGAGGUGUUGGGUUAAGUCUCGCAACGAGCGCAACCCUUACCAUUAGUUGCCAUCAGGUUAAGCUGGGCACUUUAANGGGACUGCCUACGUAAGUAGUGAGGAAGGUGGGGACGACGUCAAGUCAGCAU